CAAUCCUGCGUUCAAGAAAAUUACACAGUUCAAUUGUAAUGUCUUGAAGAUGGCGCUCGACAAUCCCGACGAAGAUAAAUUCGGUGUAGUGGUGUUUUAAUGUUUAUAUUCAAUGUUUCAUUGAAAGUUGACAGUUUUAAGCGAGUAGGAUCGGAGUUUUAAUUUCUAUGGUAUUAUUUACGGUAGACGGCGUAACUUCUAAAGAAAAUAGAUCUCCGUCCAGUAUUAAUUCGACGAUGUAACGUUUGCUACGUAACACGUACUUGUUAUCAACAUGGAAUGUGGAAUAAGGACGUGUCAAGGACGCAAGUGUCGCAUCCCCAUGCGUUACUUUCAAAAUACACUGAAACAAUGGCUAUGACACGAGGCAAAGAGAAAUCUUGAUUAAAAUCCCACGCGUGCCUCAUUAUCCGAAUUCUAUGAGCCGGGGAAUUACACGAAAGAUUUUCUACCUGUCUAUAAAAGGUG
Frieseomelitta varia is the source of this 468-nucleotide long non-coding RNA. RefSeq lists it as uncharacterized. Lineage: Eukaryota; Metazoa; Arthropoda; Insecta; Hymenoptera; Apidae. The transcript is spliced from 2 exons. The record is from RefSeq and is a predicted model, not a curated record.